Molecule: ribosomal RNA, 445 nt
Filed under: uncultured bacterium
Lineage: Bacteria
Description: bacterial SSU rRNA
Rfam family: Bacterial small subunit ribosomal RNA
Source: RNAcentral
UGGGGAAUCUUCCGCAAUGGGCGAAAGCCUGACGGAGCAAUGCCGCGUGAGUGAAGAAGGCCUUCGGGUUGUAAAACUCUAUCAUUAUCCAAGAGAGCAUACUGUAGUAACUGACAGUAUGAGGACGGUAGAUAAUAAGGAAGCCCCGGCUAACUAUGUGCCAGCAGCCGCGGUAAAACAUAGGGGGCAAGCGUUGUCCGGAAUCACUGGGCGUAAAGGGCGCGUAGGUGGACUGUUAAGUCGGAUGUGAAAUUUAGGGGCUCAACCCCUAACGUGCAUCCGAUACUGGCAGACUUGAGUGCGGAAGAGGUAAGUGGAAUUCCUAGUGUAGCGGUGAAAUGCGUAGAUAUUAGGAGGAACACCAGUGGCGAAGGCGACUUACUGGGCCGUAACUGACGCUGAGGCGCGAAAGCGUGGGGAGCAAACAGGAUUAGAUACCCUGGUA